GCAUUGCGGCAUGACUUACACAUGCAGUCGAACGGCAGCACGGGUGCUUGCACCUGGUGGCGAGUGGCGAACGGGUGAGUAAUACAUCGGAACAUGUCCUGUAGUGGGGGAUAGCCCGGCGAAAGCCGGAUUAAUACCGCAUACGAUCUACGGAUGAAAGCGGGGGACCUUCGGGCCUCGCGCUAUAGGGUUGGCCGAUGGCUGAUUAGCUAGUUGGUGGGGUAAAGGCCCACCAAGGCGACGAUCAGUAGCUGGUCUGAGAGGACGACCAGCCACACUGGGACUGAGACACGGCCCAGACUCCUACGGGAGGCAGCAGUGGGGAAUUUUGGACAAUGGGCGAAAGCCUGAUCCAGCAAUGCCGCGUGUGUGAAGAAGGCCUUCGGGUUGUAAAGCACUUUUGUCCGGAAAGAAAUCCUGAGGGCUAAUAUCCUUCGGGGAUGACGGUACCGGAAGAAUAAGCACCGGCUAACUACGUGCCAGCAGCGGCGGGUAAUAA
Molecule: ribosomal RNA, 499 nt
Filed under: Burkholderia sp. Hu35C
Lineage: Bacteria; Pseudomonadati; Pseudomonadota; Betaproteobacteria; Burkholderiales; Burkholderiaceae
Description: bacterial SSU rRNA
Rfam family: Bacterial small subunit ribosomal RNA
Source: RNAcentral